This 408-nucleotide ribosomal RNA is filed under the name uncultured bacterium. RNAcentral describes it as "partial 16S ribosomal RNA". It matches the Rfam family "Bacterial small subunit ribosomal RNA", at positions 28 to 526 of the family's 1533-position model. The record is from RNAcentral.
GACGAACGCUGGCGGCGUGCUUAACACAUGCAAGUCGAACGAAGUGGCGAACGGGUGAGUAACGCGUAAUCAACCUGCCCUUCAGAGGGGGACAACAGUUGGAAACGACUGCUAAUACCGCAUACUGAAGGAGGGGAUUGUGUCUGAUUAGCUAGCUGGAGGGGUAACGGCCCACCAAGGCGAUGAGCAGUAGCCGGUCUGAGGGGAUGAACGGCCACAUUGGGACUUAGGCACGGCCCAGACUCCUACGGGGGGCAGCAAUGGGGAAGCUUCCGAAAUGGACGGAAGUCUGACGGAGCAACGCCGCGUGAGUGAUGACGGCCUUCGGGUUGUAAAGCUCUGUUAAUCGGGACGCGGUACCGGAAUAGAAAGCCACGGCUAACUACGUGCCAGCAGCCGCGGUAAUUC